RNAcentral lists this ribosomal RNA (238 nucleotides) under Glomeromycotina sp. RNAcentral's name for it is "partial small subunit ribosomal RNA". The stretch from base 40 to 238 matches the Rfam family "Eukaryotic small subunit ribosomal RNA", at positions 686 to 886 of the family's 1831-position model. Lineage: Eukaryota; Fungi; Glomeromycota. The record is from RNAcentral.
GGGUCAGUAGGUUGGUCGUGCCACCGGUACGUACUGGUCUCACUGAUUCCUCCUUCCUGAAGAACCGUAAUGCCAUUAAUUUGGUGUUGCGGGGAAACAGGACUGUUACUUUGAAAAAAUUAGAGUGUUUAAAGCAAGCUAACGCUGGAAUACAUUAGCAUGGAAUAAUGAAAUAGGACGAUCGAUCCUAUUUUGUUGGUUUCUAGGAUUGACGUAAUGAUUAAUAGAGAUAAUUGGG